This 497-nucleotide ribosomal RNA is filed under the name uncultured bacterium. RNAcentral's name for it is "partial 16S ribosomal RNA". It matches the Rfam family "Bacterial small subunit ribosomal RNA", at positions 28 to 507 of the family's 1533-position model. The record is from RNAcentral.
GACGAACGCUGGCGGCGUGCCUAAUACAUGCAAGUUGAGCGCUGAAGGUUGGUACUUGUACCAACUGGAUGAGCAGCGAACGGGUGAGUAACGCGUGGGGAAUCUGCCUUUGAGCGGGGGACAACAUUUGGAAACGAAUGCUAAUACCGCAUAAAAACUUUAAACACAAGUUUUAAGUUUGAAAGAUGCAAUUGCAUCACUCAAAGAUGAUCCCGCGUUGUAUUAGCUAGUUGGUGAGGUAAAGGCUCACCAAGGCGAUGAUACAUAGCCGACCUGAGAGGGUGAUCGGCACCAUUGGGACUGAGACACGGCCCAAACUCCUACGGGAGGCAGCAGUAGGGAAUCUUCGGCAAUGGACGAAAGUCUGACCGAGCAACGCCGCGUGAGUGAAGAAGGUUGUCGGAUCGUAAAACUCUGUUGGUAGAGAAGAACGUUGGUGAGAGUGGAAAGCUCAUCAAGUGACGGUAACUACCCAGAAAGGGACGGCUAACUACGUG